CCUACGGGUGGCAGCAGUGAGGAAUAUUGGUCAAUGGACGAGAGUCUGAACCAGCCAAGUAGCGUGAAGGAUGACUGCCCUAUGGGUUGUAAACUUCUUUUAUAAAGGAAUAAAACGAGGCACGUGUGCCUUUUUGCAUGUACUUUAUGAAUAAGGAUCGGCUAACUCCGUGCCAGCAGCCGCGGUAAUACGGAGGAUCCGAGCGUUAUCCGGAUUUGUUGGGUUUAAAGGGAGCGUAGAUGGGUUGUUAAGUCAGUUGUGAAAGUUUGCGGCUCAACCGUAAAAUUGCAAUUGAUACUGGCAGUCGUGAGUACAGUUGAGGUAGGCGGAAUUCGUGGUGUAGCGGUGAAAUGCUUAGAUAGCACGAAGAACCCCGAUUGCGAAGGCAGCUUACUAAACUGUGACUGACAUUGAUGCUCGAAAGUGUGGGUAUCAAACAGGAUUAGAUACCCGUGUAGUC
RNAcentral lists this ribosomal RNA (460 nucleotides) under uncultured bacterium. RNAcentral describes it as "partial 16S ribosomal RNA". It matches the Rfam family "Bacterial small subunit ribosomal RNA", at positions 338 to 795 of the family's 1533-position model. The record is from RNAcentral.